GCCACAGGCUUCUCAGAUUAAGGAGUCCCCACGAGCCCUGGUCCCCCAAGUGGGAGAGUGAAAAUGACCAUCCGUGAAGGGGAUGCCGGAAGUACCCGUCUGAUCCCAGAGGCACUGCGCAGAGAUGGCUGGUAGGCCAAGGAUGCUCAUCAUUCCCCAUGUGGAAUCUCCGACCUUUCCCACCACUUGUCAAGGCCCCAAGGCACCUCUUUUCUCUCUUCUCUCCCUUUCUUGCCCUAGCAGAGUCAUGUAAAAUCAUGGAAACAACUUGUGUUCAACUCGUGGAUCUUAAUGCUUAAGAAUUAAUUCCCAGAUGAACAACAGGUGCUUACGUGACAGCAGGGCCAGAACUGGGAGCAGGAGAGUAGGGUUGCAGCAUCUCCUCGGAGUGGAUCCCACUGUCACGGACAGCCUCGGGGCCUGCAGUGGGAGAAGCAUCUUGCCCGGCAUUUGCACACUGGGAAGCCAGCCCUUUGUACAGCUUCGCCAUGGAUGACCUAAUGGAAUGGAGGAAAAUAUUCCUGUGGAUUUGGAAAACAAAACUCAGUAUCCCUGCUUUAACGAGAGAAAGUGAAAUGAUAAACCAAACCGGAGGGAAGGGGCCAUGAAUAAAUCUCCAAGGACCCCUUGGCGUGGCCACUUCAAGACCCUUUCCUGCAGAGCAUGAAGCAAAUCCAGGUGCUGCUGGACAAGGUGAGCACACCAGGGAAGAAAAUACAGAAAGAGGAGGAAGAAGGGUGCCGAACACAAUGCCUUAUUUUGGAAUUUGUCUCUCUUGGCCCUAACGAUGGUCAGAAGGCUGCUAUGAAGCAAAUUCAGGGACUGGGCCUGUGCCUUGAGAACUCUGCAAAGUCAUAGAUGUCAAGAUUUGAGAAAUCUCCACAAGAUAUGCCAAAAUCCUGCAACACCUGUCUAAAGGCUCUACAGGAGCAAAAGCCCAGGUAUUUUGAAGUAACACAUGAUGGCAAGGAUGGCAAGGUAACUGC
Non-coding RNA from Delphinapterus leucas (beluga whale), 986 nucleotides. The record is from RefSeq and is a predicted model, not a curated record. Lineage: Eukaryota; Metazoa; Chordata; Mammalia; Artiodactyla; Monodontidae.